GCAAGUCGAGGGGUAACAUGAUAGCUUGCUAUCGAUGACGACCGGCGCACGGGUGAGUAACGCGUAUGCAACCUACCUUUUACAAAGGAAUAGCCCAGAGAAAUUUGGAUUAAUACCUCAUAGUAUUACCGAAUCGCAUGAUUUGGUAAUUAAAGCUCCGGCGGUACAAGAUGAACAUGCGUGACAUUAGCUAGUUGGUAAGGUAACGGCUUACCAAGGCUACGAUGUCUAGGGGUUCUGAGAGGAUGAUC
This 251-nucleotide ribosomal RNA is filed under the name uncultured bacterium. RNAcentral describes it as "partial 16S ribosomal RNA". It matches the Rfam family "Bacterial small subunit ribosomal RNA", at positions 57 to 305 of the family's 1533-position model. The record is from RNAcentral.